Molecule: ribosomal RNA, 497 nt
Filed under: uncultured bacterium
Lineage: Bacteria
Description: partial 16S ribosomal RNA
Rfam family: Bacterial small subunit ribosomal RNA
Source: RNAcentral
GAUGAACGCUGGCGGCGUGCCUAAUACAUGCAAGUCGAGCGAACAGACGAGGCGCUUGCUCCUCUGACGUUUGCGGCGGACGGGUGAGUAACACGUGGAUACCCUCCCUAUAAGACUGGGAUAACUACGGGAAACCGGAGAUAAUACCGGAUAAUAUAUUGAACCGCAUGGUUCAAUAGUGAAAGACGGUUUUGCUGUCACUUAUAGAUGGAUCCGCGCCGUAUUAGCUAGUUGGUAAGGUAACGGCUUACCAAGGCAACGAUGCGUAGCCGACGUGAGUGAGUGGUAGCCCACCCGGGAGCUGAGACGGGGUCCAGACUCCUACGAGAGGCAGCAGAAGGGAAUGGGCCGCAAUGGGCGAAAGCCUUACGGAGCGGCGCGGCGUGAGUGAUGAAGGUCUUCGGAGCGUAAAACUCUGUUAUGGGGGGAGAACAGAUGUGUAAGGAACUGUACACGGCUUGACGGUACCGGAUCAAAAAGCACCGGCUAACUACGUG